Molecule: long non-coding RNA, 197 nt
Organism: Ipomoea nil (Japanese morning glory)
Lineage: Eukaryota; Viridiplantae; Streptophyta; Magnoliopsida; Solanales; Convolvulaceae
Exons: 4
Source: RefSeq, a predicted model, not a curated record
UAUAUCUGUGUAUUAUAUAUUUUUAUAUAUUUAUUUAUUUUUAUUUUAAUUAUUUAUUUUGAUUUCAACUCCUAUUUACUACCAAACAAAGAGACUUCUUCUACUCAAACUCAUUACCAUUACUAAGCAUUUGAUUCCAAUUACCAUUCUGAUUCCAAUAUUUGAACCAAACGCUUACUAACAGUUCAAACACACAA